This 127-nucleotide small nucleolar RNA is filed under the name Leersia perrieri. RNAcentral describes it as "snoRNA snoR74". It matches the Rfam family "Small nucleolar RNA snoR74". The record is from Rfam by way of RNAcentral. Lineage: Eukaryota; Viridiplantae; Streptophyta; Magnoliopsida; Poales; Poaceae.
AAAAAAGCAGGAUGCUGUGCUCUCUUGUAAGCAGUGUUCUCGUAAAUUUUAGGAACAUGUUUCAUCGUUAUUGGGUGAACCGUUGGUCUAUUCCUUGUCCAUUGGUUCAGUAAAUGGUGGCACAUUU